AUUGCACUGAUUUCUAUGAACUCAAUGAGUGCACAGGUAGUUUCCUCGGUAUGGAACUAUGGAAUGACCAAAACCCACCAAAUCCCCAUUGACCACCUUGAGUACAGUUUUCUAGAGAACUGUUCAGAUAUCAAACAUCUGGAAAAAAUUUUGUGGCUUCUCAGGUCUGGUGAAGAAAGAAAUUACCCAGAGCUAACAGCGUUUUGCGAGGAGCGGCUUUGGAAUUUAGCUCCGCAGAGUCGUGCUUUGCGGAAAGACAAACCCCCUGCCACUGCUGCUGACUUCUUAUUAGAAGACUGAAUGAAUAUUGAUAACGAUUUAAAGGAAUGGUUAUGGAUAUAAAAAUGAAAGAGCAAAAUGAAUCGGUUAUUCAGCCUGACACAGAAAAUCUUCCAUCUGUACGGAGUUACUCUAGUCUACCCACUGACAUAAAGCAGAAAGAAAAAGAGAAAAAAGGCGUAAGUAAAAAAGUCCCACAAGACUAUAGAGCCUGGGACAGAUUUGAUGUGGAGAAAGAAUUGUAGAUGAUGCUGAGAAGCAGGAACAAUCAAAAACAAUACAUUCUAAAACAUCAGCGAUUAAGAAGGCAAUAGAUACAGCAAGUUUGAGCCCAAGUCAAAGAAGACUUAUUGCAGAUAAUGAGAAGGAAAAGGGAAAUGAAGCUUUCAGAUCUGGGGACUACCAGGAAGCUAUAACAUAUUAUAGCAGGAGCCUUUCUGUCUUGCCCUCAGCUGCAGCAUUUAACAACAGAGCACAAGCGGAGGUCAAGCUGAAUAAUUGGCGGAACGCACUGAAUGACUGUGAGAGGGUGCUGGAGUUAGAUCCUGGAAACACAAAAGCAUUUUUACGAAGGGCCAUAAGCCACAAGAACCUGUCCAAUUACCAUGCAGCAGCAACUGAUUUGAGGAGAGUUUUACAUCAGGAACCAGACAACCCAGUUGCUAAGAAAGCUUUUGCUGAAGUUGACGAGUUGCUGCAGAAGGCAGAGGAAGAAAUUCAGAGCAAGGAAGGAAAAUUGUUAUUGAGGACAUAGAGGGGUCAGAUGAAGAAAAUGAGAGAACUUCCAAAUCUGAGAAAGAAGCCGGUGAGUCAGUGGGAGGAGAGGCAGUAGGGGAGCAGAGUGACAUGGGGAAUGCACACGAUAAACCCUUUCCCAAGAAAAACGGCCCUGGGAGCGAGGAAUGUCGGGCUCCUGGUCACACGCAGAAUGGAGUGAAGAAAGACUGCGGCAAUGGACAGCAGCCAAGGAAUCCAUGUGAAGAGAAGGACAGAAUGAAGCCAACCCCUGGCACCGACAACACAUGGAAGAGAAGCAGUAAGGAAGUGAAGCCAUCAUCAGAGCCCCUUCCCUCAGCUGCACGGCUAAAGUCAGAAGGCAACCAGCUGUUUAAGAACGGGCAGUUUGCUGAGGCUGCACUCAAGUAUUCACAAGCCAUUGAAAAUGUUAAGAACACACGAUCAGAGAAUGCGGAGGAACUGGCCAUCUUGCAUUCUAACAGAGCCGCUUGCCACUUGAAGGAUGGCAAUAGCAGGGAGUGUAUUGAAGAUUGCAACAGGGCAUUGGAGCUGCAGCCAUUCUCAGUGAAGCCACUUUUACGCCGGGCGAUGGCCAACGAGUCCCUGGAGAGAUACAGGCCAGCGUAUGUGGAUUAUAAAACUGCCUUGCAAAUUGACAGUUCCAUCCAGGCGGCACAUGAUAGCAUCAACAGGAUUACAAAAACGUUAAUAGAGCAAGAUGGGCCCAGCUGGAGAGAGAAACUGCCCCCGAUUCCCACUGUACCAGUCUCUGUUCACUUACAACAACAUGGAGGAGGGGACCCUGCUUACAGUAGCAGCCAGACCACGAAUCCCGUGGAACAUGGUAAAUCGCCCGAGGAGACGUUGCAGGCUCUGAAAACCGAAGGCAAUGAGCAUGUGAAGAAAGGACAGUACAGAGAGGCUGAGAAGAAGUAUAGUGAAUGCUUGAAGAUAAAUGCAGAAGAAUGUACCUUGUACACAAAUAGGGCCCUGUGUUACUUGAAACUGAGUGAGUACGACGAGGCCAGGAACGACUGUGAAUGUGCUCUGCAGAGGGACGCUUUAAAUAUCAAAGCCUUGUACAGACGAGCACAGGCCUACAAAGGAUUAGAGGAUUAUCAGUCGUGUGCUAAUGAUCUCCGAAAAGUCAUCUCUGUGGAUGCUAGUAUUGCAGAAGCGAAGAAACUACUGGAUGAAAUUGCUCCCUUUCUUACUGCAGCUGAUGGUCUUGUAAAGGGGCAGGAAAAACAAAGAAAGAAGAUCCUAAUAGAGGAGGUAUGUUACUCCAGCAGUUGUAGAUCCAAUGCCUAUGAGUUUGGACAGCAGUUAAAUGAGAUCAAAUCAAGGAAAGAUGAGACUGCCUGUGCCGAUCUCUUGUCUGUCACAGAACCAAAGGACCUGCCUGUGCUUAUGAGCAACAAGUUAGAGGAAGACAGUCUCCUGCUGAUUGUACGGUCAAUGAAACGCUGUCUUCUUCCCACGGAACCCGAUCUGGUGUAUCAGCACCUUUCUCACCUGAGCAAAGCAGAAAGGUUUCAGAUCGUGGUCAUGCUAUUGAGCAAGAGUGAAAAGGAUGAAUUUCGGGAUCUCUUUGAUUCCCUCGCACAGAACCAGAACGGGGAGACAGAGCGGGAGGCCGUCCUGAGCCUCGCAAGGGAAUAUGAACUUUAAUUCUGUGUUCAUGGAACACGCCGAAUCUCUAUGCACGGUUCCACUGCAAUAGGAAAGGCUGAACUAUAUUCAAUAUGCAAUAUUCACGCACGAAUGUUCUUUAAUAGAUCCCCUAUGCAAUUUCCAUCCAGUGACAACACACUGUACUUGUCAGCAACAUUAUAUACCAAACCUGAAAAGAGUAGCGCUCCAUUGAAUCCCAGAGAAGAAAGCAGGUAAGGGUUUAGCCUCAGUCGUUUAUAUUUCUGCAGCAGGGAUUUCAUUAGGGCAAGUAAAUUGUCUUAUUGACUGUACAGCUUUCUUCAGAGGCUCCUGAAUACUUCAAUCAAUAGCUCUGAAUGUUUCAUUGCACAUUUGCUCCCUUGUACAGUUGGGGGUGGGGAAACGCUGGCUUUGGCCAGACAUGGGGCACCAACCUGCUCUCAUUUGUUAUAAUAUUUAUUCUAAUUCCGUCACUGGUUUCAUUUAGACAUAAAGGAAUCACAGGUACUGAGCAAACGGGACAAGACACGGGUAUUUGUUUCCUAUGGGGGCCCCUGUGGGAGCACAGCCAGUAGCUUUUGCUUUCUUUUCCCACCAUUCACUAUCCCUGUACAUAACCAGGGGAAGCCGCACCUACUGUGUGUACUUACUUAUUAUUAAUUAUUAUUAUUUAUAGUAUUACAGAGAAUACAUCCCUGCUGGUUUGUUAGUAGACAUGAUGCUGUAAUAUUCGCUGUAUAUAUUUCUGCUUGACCAAAUAAUGAUCUUUAUAUUUAAAUACAUAUUUUAUUU
RNA transcript from Xenopus laevis (African clawed frog), 3462 nucleotides. It is a transcript of the gene named sperm-associated antigen 1-like, with no coding region annotated. The record is from RefSeq and is a predicted model, not a curated record. The transcript has 19 exons. Lineage: Eukaryota; Metazoa; Chordata; Amphibia; Anura; Pipidae.